GCCGGCCUCAAAAGGGAUCCCAACGAGGGAGAUUAAUAGCUAGCAGUGAAUCAUGAGUACCAUGAGCGUGGAGUCCAAUCUGAACCCAAAUGCCCCCCUCUUUAUCCCAGCUGCAUACCAGCAGGUAGAGGACUUCUCCCCAGAAUGGUGGGAACUUGUUAAGACCACCGGUUGGUUCCGUGACCACUGGUUCCGCCAGCACCAGGAGCAGGAAACAUUCGACGGUAGUGAUGAUGCUGAAAAGGAUGUCGUGAGCCUGCUGCCAGACUCCUCUGAUCUCUUUGAUGAUUUCUCCGAAUCAGAGCUAGCUGAUGAAGCUGUAUUCGGAUCAGCUCCUGCUACCAAUGGAUUGAAGGGACCUGGCUUGGAGAGUGAUGCAGAGGCAGUGAUGAAGAGCCUCACCUCACCAAGGAAUGGAGGUGUGAAGCUUAUGGUGGAGCCAGCUAAGUAUUCAGAGAAGCCAGGGCGCUACGCCAACCCGAACUUCAGCCCCAGGCGCAUCAUCCAGCAGCCCCGCUAAAUGGUGCAACUGAAGUAUGAUCAAGAUUGAUCGUGAAUGUCCUGCUGUGUUGUUUUGUAUAGUCCUAAGUUGUAGUAGGUCUUUGUGUUCUAGUUAGCUUCAGCUCCAGUGUUGUUUUAUGUUCAUCAGCACUCUUUCCCAGUGUUGUGUUAUGUUCAUCAGCACUCUUCCCCGAAGAGAGGAAACAAAAACAAAUCAAUGUAAAGAGUCUUUCAAGCAGGCUUGUUUGCCAAAUCAAAAUCAG
RNAcentral lists this unclassified non-coding RNA (764 nucleotides) under Hevea brasiliensis (rubber tree). Lineage: Eukaryota; Viridiplantae; Streptophyta; Magnoliopsida; Malpighiales; Euphorbiaceae. The record is from RNAcentral.